RNAcentral lists this ribosomal RNA (292 nucleotides) under uncultured bacterium. Its description in RNAcentral is "partial 16S ribosomal RNA". It matches the Rfam family "Bacterial small subunit ribosomal RNA", at positions 505 to 796 of the family's 1533-position model. The record is from RNAcentral.
GUGUCAGCCGCCGCGGUAAAACGUAGGUGGCGAGCGUUAUCCGGAUUUACUGGGCGUAAAGGGUGUGCAGGCGGGCUGUUAAGUGGUGUAUGAAAUAUCCCGGCUCAACCGGGAGAGGUUAUGCCAGACUGGCAGUCUAGAGAGCGAGAGAGGGACGUGGAAUUCCGGGUGUAGUGGUGAAAUGCGUAGAGAUCCGGAGGAACCCCAGAGGCGAAGGCGGCGUCCUGGCUCGCAUCUGACGCUCAGACACGACAGCAUGGGGAGCGAACGGGAUUAGAAACCCUUGUAGUCC